AUUGAACGCUGGCGGCAUGCUUUACACAUGCAAGUCGAACGGCAGCGCGGGCUUCGGCCUGGCGGCGAGUGGCGAACGGGUGAGUAAUACAUCGGAACGUGCCCAGUAGUGGGGGAUAGCUCGGCGAAAGCCGGAUUAAUACCGCAUACGACCUGAGGGUGAAAGCGGGGGAUCUUCGGACCUCGCGCUAUUGGAGCGGCCGAUGGCAGAUUAGCUAGUUGGUGGGGUAAAGGCCUACCAAGGCGACGAUCUGUAGCUGGUCUGAGAGGACGACCAGCCAAACUGGGACUGAGACACGGCCCAGACUCCUACGGGAGGCAGCAGUGGGGAAUUUUGGACAAAGGGCGAAAGCCUGAUCCAGCAAUGCCGCGUGUGUGAUGAAGGCCUUCGGGUUGUAAAGCACUUUUGGCGGGAACGAAAAGGACUGUGCCAAUACCACGGUUCGAUGACGGUACCCGCAGAAUAAGCACCGGCUAACUACGUG
RNAcentral lists this ribosomal RNA (484 nucleotides) under uncultured bacterium. RNAcentral describes it as "partial 16S ribosomal RNA". It matches the Rfam family "Bacterial small subunit ribosomal RNA", at positions 29 to 507 of the family's 1533-position model. The record is from RNAcentral.